AACGCGAAGAACCUUACCUGGCCUUGACAUGCAUUGGACCGGCGCUGAAAGGCGCCUUUCCCGCAAGGGACCGGUGCACAGGUGCUGCAUGGCUGUCGUCAGCUCGUGUCGUGAGAUGUUGCGUUAAGUCGCGCAACGAGCGCAACCCCUGUCCUUAGUUGCCACCAUUCAGUUGGGCACUCUAGGGAGACAAACCCUCUUUGAGGGUGGGAAGGUGGGGAUGACGUCAAGUCAGGAUGGCCCUUACGGCCAGGGCUGCACACGUGCUACAAUGCCCGGUACAGAGGGAAGCAAUACCGCGAGGUGGAGCAAAUCCUCAAAACCGGGCCCAGUUCAGAUUGUAGUCUGCAACUCGACUACAUGAAGUUGGAAUCGCUAGUAAUGGCGUAUCAGCUACGACGCCGUGAAUACGUUCCCGGGCCUUGUA
This 427-nucleotide ribosomal RNA is filed under the name uncultured Verrucomicrobiota bacterium. Its description in RNAcentral is "bacterial SSU rRNA". It matches the Rfam family "Bacterial small subunit ribosomal RNA", at positions 958 to 1385 of the family's 1533-position model. Lineage: Bacteria; Pseudomonadati; Verrucomicrobiota. The record is from RNAcentral.